This 63-nucleotide small nucleolar RNA is filed under the name Tyto alba (common barn owl). Its description in RNAcentral is "Small nucleolar RNA Z39". It matches the Rfam family "Small nucleolar RNA Z39". From Rfam's summary of the family: Z39 is a member of the C/D class of snoRNA which contain the C (UGAUGA) and D (CUGA) box motifs. Most of the members of the box C/D family function in directing site-specific 2'-O-methylation of substrate RNAs. Lineage: Eukaryota; Metazoa; Chordata; Aves; Strigiformes; Tytonidae. The record is from Rfam by way of RNAcentral.
GCACAGGUGAUGAGCAUUGCAAUAUGAAUGUCAACAGUGAUACUGUAAACGCUUUCUGAUGUG